GGGGGUGUGGCGGAAUGGUAGACGCUGCGGACUUAAAAUCCGUUGGCCGUUAUAGGCCGUGAGAGUUCAAGUCUCUCCACCCCCAUCA
This 88-nucleotide transfer RNA is filed under the name Cyanobacteria bacterium SW_9_44_58. RNAcentral describes it as "tRNA-Leu". It matches the Rfam family "tRNA". Rfam says of the family: Transfer RNA (tRNA) molecules are approximately 80 nucleotides in length. Lineage: Bacteria; Bacillati; Cyanobacteriota. The record is from RNAcentral.